UUGGCAGCAGAACCUCCAGGUAUGAUUCACUCCUGGCACUGCCUUCUCUCUUCCCAGAUAGACCAGCCCUGGUAAACAGAAAGUCAGGGAGUGUGUGAUGAGGAGUGGCUACCAGUAAAGGAGGUGAGAGUUGAUGGGAGGGCCUUUGAUACCUUGAUGAAGUCCUGGGUUGAAGACACCAGUCUAGAAAACUGCCUGAGGCAUGUGGGGAGAAGCAUAAAGAUGCUGAGGAUCUGGAGGGGCUUGUGCACUACAGAGCCUGAAGCUGCUGGAAAAGUACUUGGGAUGACAUCUUCUAUAAGCCAGAAGCUUGUUCAGCACAGAGGGAGCGGAGGGAAGGGAGAGAUGAUAGUUAACUGA
Molecule: long non-coding RNA, 360 nt
Organism: Numida meleagris (helmeted guineafowl)
Lineage: Eukaryota; Metazoa; Chordata; Aves; Galliformes; Numididae
Source: Ensembl